Molecule: long non-coding RNA, 1239 nt
Organism: Homo sapiens (human)
Lineage: Eukaryota; Metazoa; Chordata; Mammalia; Primates; Hominidae
Product: long intergenic non-protein coding RNA 1524
Source: Ensembl
UUGCGCCAGGCGACUGGGUCUGAGGAGGCAGGAGUUAUUCAUUCCCUUAAGCUUUCAGGCCGGGGGGAGAAUCUUUCAGGUGGUAGCUGCAAGAACUCUUAGUAUGUUGACCUCACCUCUGCCUUCCACAUACCACUACCAGUGAGGAAUUAGGAAUGCAUGAGAAGAGUGUCCAAGAAGAGUGUCCUCAUUCAUGCAAGGCUUAAGAGAGAAUGCAGGUCAACAUCACCAUGUCAAUCAGAGAAUACUUCUGUUGGGUUGAAUGACUCUCUGCCCCCAGGAAAGAGAUCUUCAUGUAAACAGAGUCCCUCUUAUUGGCUGAAGUGAAGAGUCAUUCUGAGGCAUCUCAAGAUGAAGGUUUCCUAUUUGUGAUUAUGAAAAAAAUGUCAAGAACAAGUCCCUUGGUGUUCUUAGACCAAAGUCAGAACAACAGACCUAUUUAUGUCUACAAGACGCUGUUGAGAGCAACUUGAUUCCUCAUUCAUUUUUGUUUCCCACAAAGUUUAUGCCUGAAAUGUGUGUAUAAACAACAUUUGAAAGAAGAAAUGGAAAUCUCCCAUCACUACAUCUCAGUAUGAAGAGAUGGAGGGAAGUUAAGUCCUAAAUGACCAGAUUUGGAUGUUACAUGACAGGUGGCUUCUGCACAGUAAACUGAGGCAGAACUGUAAGUGAUGAGUAGGUAUUCAAGAAUGAAAGAGAUCAUGACCAAGGACAGCCACAUCCGACCAUUCGUUGUGUUUUGUUGAUAUGCCCUGACAAUAGAUGACAUAACCAAAGAAAGAAACUGCUGGGGGAUACAGGCCUAUACCUCUGGAUAUAUUUUUCUAUUGUGAUUUUAGCUUCAGAGCAACUUCCCUCUGACAUAACGAAGACUCUUGAGUAUUGAAGAUGAAUAUUUAUUGGGGAAAAAUGCAAUGGGAAAUAAAGAAAUCAGAAGAUUGGAGAUGCUUGACAAACUACUGGAAAUUUUAUUCCCAAGUAAUUUAUUUCUUAUUUGUAUCAAUUUGAUAAAUAUUAUGUAAGUUACGAUUAUGUUGAAUUGCAAAUAACAAGAGCAGGUGUUUAUUUUUUUUUACAUAAUAACAAGUCCAGAGGUGUGUUUAGAUGACUGUGCAAUGGCUAGGCCACUGGUUCUGAUGUUCUUGGCUUCUUCCUUAUGGUCACAAGAUGGCUGCUUCAGUACCAGUUCUUAUAUCUGCAUUUAAGAGAUUAAAAAAGAAAAAGAAGAAGAAAAAGAAA